RNAcentral lists this ribosomal RNA (301 nucleotides) under uncultured bacterium. RNAcentral's name for it is "partial 16S ribosomal RNA". It matches the Rfam family "Bacterial small subunit ribosomal RNA", at positions 509 to 807 of the family's 1533-position model. The record is from RNAcentral.
CAGCAGCCGCGGGAAUACGAAGGGGGCUAGCGUUGUUCGGAAUCACUGGGCGUAAAGCGCACGUAGGCGGACACUUAAGUCAGAGGUGAAAUCCCAAGGCUCAACCUUGGAACUGCCUUUGAUACUGGGUGUCUUGAGUUCGGGAGAGGUGAGUGGAACUGCGAGCGUAGAGGUGAAAUUCGUAGAUAUUCGCAAGAACACCAGUGGCGAAGGCGGCUCACUGGCCCGAUACUGACGCUGAGGUGCGAAAGCGUGGGGAGCAAACAGGAUUAGAUACCCCCGUAGUCCCUGUCUCUUAUAC